CUCUCCUCCGGUGCGGCGGCGGGCGGCGGCGCAGCGGCGGCGCAGCCGCUGGGGCCUUCUUCCACCGGUGGGGCCUCGUCCUUGGCCUCUCCCGCCCGGUACCUGCAAGACUGCUUCUCCCUGCUAUGCUCUGUUGUGACAGCCUCAUCCAUUUGAGCCAAGCCUUCUGAAGCCUUUGCCUUGCAAAUAGGCAGAAGACCAUCGGUGGAAAACAGAAGCUGCAUCCAAUGGGGAGCAAUGAUCUGGGAGAGUUGGCAACCAGUGGGCUAGCAACGAAAACAUGCAGUUUCACAAUGCUUCUUCACAUGCCACAUUCAAAGAGCAUCUCCAUACAAGAUUAAUUCAUUCUAUGUAUUGGUGAUAAUUCCUUUGUAUUCUUUCUCAAUGCAAAAUUAAUUCAUUCUAUGCAUUGGUGAUAAUUCCUUUGUACUAUUACAUAAGUGCUUGUAUGCAGAUAAAAUUGCACCUUUGCG
Molecule: long non-coding RNA, 473 nt
Organism: Eublepharis macularius
Lineage: Eukaryota; Metazoa; Chordata; Lepidosauria; Squamata; Eublepharidae
Exons: 3
Source: RefSeq, a predicted model, not a curated record